GGACCUGGGUCAGUAGUAGAGCAUCUGGUUGAUAUGCAGAAGGUCCCAUGUUCAAUUCAUGGCAUCUUCA
RNAcentral lists this transfer RNA (70 nucleotides) under Sphaerodactylus townsendi. RNAcentral's name for it is "tRNA-Ile". It matches the Rfam family "tRNA". Rfam says of the family: Transfer RNA (tRNA) molecules are approximately 80 nucleotides in length. Their secondary structure includes four short double-helical elements and three loops (D, anti-codon, and T loops). Further hydrogen bonds mediate the characteristic L-shaped molecular structure. tRNAs have two regions of fundamental functional importance: the anti-codon, which is responsible for specific mRNA codon recognition, and the 3' end, to which the tRNAs corresponding amino acid is attached (by aminoacyl-tRNA synthetases). tRNAs cope with the degeneracy of the genetic code in two manners: having more than one tRNA (with a specific anti-codon) for a particular amino acid; and 'wobble' base-pairing, i.e. permitting non-standard base-pairing at the 3rd anti-codon position. The record is from RNAcentral. Lineage: Eukaryota; Metazoa; Chordata; Lepidosauria; Squamata; Sphaerodactylidae.